AUUGUGGGUUGCUCUGUGCAUAAGGGC
This 27-nucleotide non-coding RNA is filed under the name Cricetulus griseus (Chinese hamster). Lineage: Eukaryota; Metazoa; Chordata; Mammalia; Rodentia; Cricetidae. The record is from RNAcentral.